AUUAAGAAAGGUAUUGUCGGUGACAUCAUCGAUAGGGCAUUUCUAUGUAGAUGAGGUAGCACAGGGCUGCUUCUUCACCAUGGAGGAUUUCCCGUGCUGUAGGAGCAAGUCCAGGACUGCUGGGUGGACGUGAGAGUCCCAGCUGUGUGUUAGGGCUAGGAGGGCUCAGGGUGGUUAGUGUGUGUAAAAGCCAAGCCUUGUCUUUGUUCAGGGCUCAGCCUUUGGAUUUUAAUAUGCUGGGCCUGAGUACACUCAAUAAAGUCCUCCUGUUCCACCCAUUGGUCUCUCUGUUCUCCUGAUUCCCACAACAGUAGUAGGGGACUGUGUUCGCACUUUCCCCUGGUCCUUCAUGGUAUGAAUAAUAGACAGCCUUUUUUUCUUCACCUAUAGUCACAGGC
This 398-nucleotide long non-coding RNA is filed under the name Homo sapiens (human). Its description in RNAcentral is "non-protein coding lnc-PPIAL4G-4:16". Lineage: Eukaryota; Metazoa; Chordata; Mammalia; Primates; Hominidae. The record is from RNAcentral.